Heterocephalus glaber (naked mole-rat) is the source of this 1050-nucleotide non-coding RNA. NCBI's taxonomy places the organism in Eukaryota, Metazoa, Chordata, Mammalia, Rodentia, Bathyergidae. The record is from RefSeq and is a predicted model, not a curated record.
AAUAUUUUAAAGGACAAAAAAAGUAUGCCUCACAAAACUUGAAAUUGUAGUUGUUGCAAUAGAACUGGUGGACUAUAGGUCAAGUUUGUUACUUCCAGGAUACCUAUGUUGACACAUAAGGAUAAGAGAUUCUACUUUUGUUUUUCGGGGGUUUUUCUUGUUUGCUCUGGGUAUGUAGUUCAGGCUGGCCUUGAACUCACUAUGUAGGUCAAACUGGCCUGGAACUCGUGGCAAUCCUCCAGCCUCAGCCUCCAGACUGCUGGGAUUACAGGCAUGCGCCACCACGCCUGGCUAAAUUAUAUACUUUUCUUAACAACAGCAAAAAGUUCAAAUGAUGUGCACCAAAUUGUUUAUUCAAUGUAAAAGUCACGUUGCCGGGGAUUUAGCUCAGAGGUUACACUCUCGAAAGCGCAAGGACCCGAGUUCCAUCCCCGGGUCGGGGGGGAAGUCCCGUGAAAGUAAAUGGAAACGAGCUGUACUAAAUAGACUGACAAAUACCAUCUGAAGGCAACAUCUGCCCUACCUGCCAGGUUUGGCACACAAUAACUACACAUCUCUGGAUAACUGGAAAAACUGAAGGCAGAUUCGAGCACUCAGAACAUAAACCACGCAUCACACACACAGGACCGGUUUAUAUCAAUUAAGUGCUCUGAAGGUCAUCAGUGGUACUGUCCAAUGAAAUGUUCUGUGUCAUUCUGCUUUGUCUUUUAAUUCUGCAGGCUACCCCUAAAGCAACCUUACUUCUGGAAGAAUACAUUUCACACUCAGAAAACAGCAUGGGCAGGAGCCGGGACCGGGGCCGCCGAGCGGGAGACCGGGCUCGCUGGGCGCGGGGGAAGAUGAAAGGUGCGAAAGGAAGAAGUCGCCUGGCCCCGACGCGGGGGCCGGCCGCUGCCCCACGGGUCCUCACCCUUCACUUUGCCGAAGGUGCCGACGCCCAGUGUGUCCCCUAGGAUGUAGUGGCCGAUCUUCACCCGCCCUUCGUGUUUCUGCUUGUCGGCGGCCGCCAUCUUUUCCCCGGAAACUCCAGAAGCAACAGGAAGUUUUCAC